RNAcentral lists this unclassified non-coding RNA (409 nucleotides) under Hevea brasiliensis (rubber tree). Lineage: Eukaryota; Viridiplantae; Streptophyta; Magnoliopsida; Malpighiales; Euphorbiaceae. The record is from RNAcentral.
UCUGAUGAAAGGGGGUAUCCAUUGACACCCAUCGUUCUCUAUCCGAGUGACCUUCACUUCUAAAAACCCAUCGCAAACCUAGCAACCAAGAACUCCACGAUCAACCCCAUUUCAAUCCCACUACACCAUCGUCUUUCUUCCUCAUCGUAGACUCACUUCAGCACUUUCUCGAUUCAACCCUCAUCAGAUUCAUUUUCGUAUUAUUUGUUUCUCCUCCAGGCAGUUUCUUUCACACCAACAGUGCCUCACAUUGUCAGCAGUUCAUCCAUCGUCAACCCAUCGCGUUGAAGCCAUCUAUGAAGAUUCACCUUGUCUCUUCUUCUCAUUUCAUCAUCCUCUUUCUAGCAUUUACACUUGUUAGAGUUUGAGGUGAAAAUUCGAUCUGUUCCAUAUAAACUUGUAUUGUGGG